RNAcentral lists this ribosomal RNA (519 nucleotides) under Salmonella enterica. Its description in RNAcentral is "partial 23S ribosomal RNA". It matches the Rfam family "Bacterial large subunit ribosomal RNA", at positions 1239 to 1757 of the family's 2925-position model. RNAcentral also lists the same sequence under 1 other name. The record is from RNAcentral. Lineage: Bacteria; Pseudomonadati; Pseudomonadota; Gammaproteobacteria; Enterobacterales; Enterobacteriaceae.
UUCUGUAAGCCGUUGAAGGUGUCCUGUGAGGGGUGCUGGAGGUAUCAGAAGUGCGAAUGCUGACAUAAGUAACGAUAAAGCGGGUGAAAAGCCCGCUCGCCGGAAGACCAAGGGUUCCUGUCCAACGUUAAUCGGGGCAGGGUGAGUCGACCCCUAAGGCGAGGCCGAAAGGCGUAGUCGAUGGGAAACGGGUUAAUAUUCCCGUACUUGGUGUUACUGCGAAGGGGGGACGGAGAAGGCUAUGUUGGCCGGGCGACGGUAGUCCCGGUUUAAGCGUGUAGGUGUGUGUUCCAGGUAAAUCCGGUUCACUUUAACACUGAGGCGUGAUGACGAGGCACCACGGUGCUGAAGCAACAAAUGCCCUGCUUCCAGGAAAAGCCUCUAAGCAUCAGGUAACAUCAAAUCGUACCCCAAACCGACACAGGUGGUCAGGUAGAGAAUACCAAGGCGCUUGAGAGAACUCGGGUGAAGGAACUAGGCAAAAUGGUGCCGUAACUUCGGGAGAAGGCACGCUGACAC